UAGGGAAUCUUCGGCAAUGGGGGGAACCCUGACCGAGCAACGCCGCGUGAGUGAAGAAGGUUUUCGGAUCGUAAAGCUCUGUUGUUAAGGAAGAACGAGUGUGAGAAUGGAAAGUUCAUGCUGUGACGGUACUUAACCAGAAAGGGACGGCUAACUACGUGCCAGCAGCCGCGGUAAUACGUAGGUCCCGAGCGUUGUCCGGAUUUAUUGGGCGUAAAGCGAGCGCAGGCGGUUAGAAAAGUCUGAAGUGAAAGGCAGUGGCUCAACCAUUGUAGGCUUUGGAAACUGUUUAACUUGAGUGCUGUAGGGGAGACUGGAAUUCCUGGUGUAGCGGUGAAAUGCGCAGAUAUCAGGAGGAACACCGAUGGCGAAGGCAGGUCUCUGGGCAGUAACUGACGCUGAGGAGCGAAAGCAUGGGUAGCGAACAGG
This 429-nucleotide ribosomal RNA is filed under the name Verrucomicrobiota bacterium. RNAcentral's name for it is "Verrucomicrobia bacterium partial 16S ribosomal RNA". It matches the Rfam family "Bacterial small subunit ribosomal RNA", at positions 355 to 776 of the family's 1533-position model. The record is from RNAcentral. Lineage: Bacteria; Pseudomonadati; Verrucomicrobiota.